This 660-nucleotide ribosomal RNA is filed under the name uncultured bacterium. Its description in RNAcentral is "bacterial SSU rRNA". It matches the Rfam family "Bacterial small subunit ribosomal RNA", at positions 65 to 738 of the family's 1533-position model. The record is from RNAcentral.
AACGAGCGAGAGAGAGCUUGCUUUCUCGAGCGAGUGGCGAACGGGUGAGUAGCGCGUGAGGAACCUGCCUCAAAGAGGGGGACAACAGUUGGAAACGACUGCUAAUACCGCAUAAGCCCACGACCCGGCAUCGGGUAGAGGGAAAAGGAGCAAUCCGCUUUGAGAUGGCCUCGCGUCCGAUUAGCUAGUUGGUGAGGUAACGGCCCACCAAGGCGACGAUCGGUAGCCGGACUGAGAGGUUGAACGGCCACAUUGGGACUGAGACACGGCCCAGACUCCUACGGGAGGCAGCAGUGGGGAAUAUUGCACAAUGGGGGAAACCCUGAUGCAGCGACGCCGCGUGGAGGAAGAAGGUCUUCGGAUUGUAAACUCCUGUUGUUGAGGAAGAUAAUGACGGUACUCAACAAGGAAGUGACGGCUAACUACGUGCCAGCAGCCGCGGUAAAACGUAGGUCACAAGCGUUGUCCGGAAUUACUGGGUGUAAAGGGAGCGCAGGCGGGAAGGCAAGUUGGAAGUGAAAUCCAUGGGCUCAACCCAUGAACUGCUUUCAAAACUGUUUUUCUUGAGUAGUGCAGAGGUAGGCGGAAUUCCCGGUGUAGCGGUGGAAUGCGUAGAUAUCGGGAGGAACACCAGUGGCGAAGGCGGCCUACUGGGCACCA